This 280-nucleotide ribosomal RNA is filed under the name uncultured bacterium. Its description in RNAcentral is "partial 16S ribosomal RNA". It matches the Rfam family "Bacterial small subunit ribosomal RNA", at positions 43 to 339 of the family's 1533-position model. The record is from RNAcentral.
CAUGCUUAACACAUGCAAGUCGAACGGUAGGGUGCUUUCGGGCACCUGAGAGUGGCGCACGGGUGAGUAACGCGUGGGAACCCGCCCCGGAGUGGGGGACAACCGCUGGAAACGGCGGCUAAUACCGCAUACGUCCUACGGGAGAAAGGCUUCGGCCGCCCCGGGAUGGUCCCGCGUCUGAUUAGCUAGUUGGUGGGGUAACGGCCUACCAAGGCGACGAUCAGUAGCUGGUCUGAGAGGAUGAUCAGCCACACUGGGACUGAGACACGGCCCAGACUCC